RNAcentral lists this ribosomal RNA (319 nucleotides) under uncultured eukaryote. RNAcentral describes it as "partial 18S ribosomal RNA". It matches the Rfam family "Eukaryotic small subunit ribosomal RNA", at positions 1470 to 1796 of the family's 1831-position model. The record is from RNAcentral.
CCCUUAGAUGUUCUGGGCAGCACGCGCGCUACAAUGGUCUUCGCAAACGGAUGCAUUCUCGAAGGAGAAUGCCAAUCUUGGAAUCUAUGCCUUGGUCGGGACAGUUGCUUGCAAUUUUUCGACUCGAACCAGGAAUUCCUUGUAAUCGUGAUUCAUCACAUCACGAUGAAUACGUCCCUGCCCUUUGUAAACACCGCCCGUCGCUCCUACCGAUCGAAGAGUUAGGUGAAUUGUUUUGAUCGAUAAGAUUUGACUAUGGUCAACUCUCGUUGUGAAAUUCUGUGAAUCUGACUGUUUAGAGGAAGGAAAAGUCGUAACA